RNAcentral lists this ribosomal RNA (919 nucleotides) under uncultured Bacteroidota bacterium. RNAcentral's name for it is "bacterial SSU rRNA". It matches the Rfam family "Bacterial small subunit ribosomal RNA", at positions 1 to 916 of the family's 1533-position model. Lineage: Bacteria; Pseudomonadati; Bacteroidota. The record is from RNAcentral.
GGAUCCAGACUUUGAUUAUGGCUCAGGAUGAACGCUAGCUACAGGCUUAACACAUGCAAGUCGAGGGGCAGCAUGACGAUAGCUUGCUAUUGUUGAUGGCGACCGGCGCACGGGUGAGUAACGCGUAUCCAACCUGCCCUUGUCCACCGGAUAACCCGUCGAAAGGCGGACUAACACGGUAUGCAGUCCACAGCAGACAUCUAACGUGGACGAAAUGUGAAGGAGAAGGAUGGGGAUGCGUCUGAUUAGCUUGUUGGCGGGGUAACGGCCCACCAAGGCGACGAUCAGUAGGGGUUCUGAGAGGAAGGUCCCCCACAUUGGAACUGAGACACGGUCCAAACUCCUACGGGAGGCAGCAGUGAGGAAUAUUGGUCAAUGGGCGAGAGCCUGAACCAGCCAAGUAGCGUGCAGGAUGACGGCCCUAUGGGUUGUAAACUGCUUUUAUACGGGGAUAAAGUGGGCCACGUGUGGCUUAUUGCAGGUACCGUAUGAAUAAGGACCGGCUAAUUCCGUGCCAGCAGCCGCGGUAAUACGGAAGGUCCGGGCGUUAUCCGGAUUUAUUGGGUUUAAAGGGAGCGUAGGCCGUCUGUUAAGCGUGUUGUGAAAUGUCGGGGCUCAACCUGGGCAUUGCAGCGCGAACUGGCAGACUUGAGUGCGCAGGAAGUAGGCGGAAUUCGUCGUGUAGCGGUGAAAUGCUUAGAUAUGACGAAGAACUCCGAUUGCGAAGGCAGCCUGCUGUAGCGUAACUGACGCUGAAGCUCGAAAGCGUGGGUAUCGAACAGGAUUAGAUACCCUGGUAGUCCACGCGGUAAACGAUGGAUGCUCGCUGUUUGCGUCUGACGUAAGCGGCCAAGCGAAAGCGUUAAGCAUCCCACCUGGGGAGUACGCCGGCAACGGUGCAACUCAAAGGAAUUGACGG